This 468-nucleotide ribosomal RNA is filed under the name uncultured bacterium. Its description in RNAcentral is "partial 16S ribosomal RNA". It matches the Rfam family "Bacterial small subunit ribosomal RNA", at positions 28 to 507 of the family's 1533-position model. The record is from RNAcentral.
GACGAACGCUGGCGGCGUGCUUAACACAUGCAAGUCGAACGGAAAGGCCCUGCUUUUGUGGGGUGCUCGAGUGGCGAACGGGUGAGUAUCACGUGAGUAACCUGCCCUUGACUUUGGGAUAACUUCAGGAAACUGGGGUUAAUAUCGGACAGGAGCUCCUGCUGCAUGGUGGGGGUUGGAAAGUUUCGGCGGUUGGGGAUGGACUCGCGGCUUAUCAGCUUGUUGGUGGGGUAGUGGCUUACCAAGGCUUUGACGGGUAGCCGGACUGGGAGGGUGACCGGCCACAAUGGGACUGAGAAAGGGGCCAGACGGCAACGGGGGGCAGCAGUGGGAAAUAUUGCACAAUGGGCGGAAGCCGGAUGCAGCGACGCCGGGUGCGGGAUGACGGCCUUCGGGGUGUAAACCGCUUUCGCCUGUGACGAAGCGUAAGUGACGGUAAUGGGUAAAGAAGCACCGGCUAACUACGUG